This 92-nucleotide transfer RNA is filed under the name Clostridia bacterium. Its description in RNAcentral is "tRNA-Ser". It matches the Rfam family "tRNA". Rfam says of the family: Transfer RNA (tRNA) molecules are approximately 80 nucleotides in length. Their secondary structure includes four short double-helical elements and three loops (D, anti-codon, and T loops). Further hydrogen bonds mediate the characteristic L-shaped molecular structure. tRNAs have two regions of fundamental functional importance: the anti-codon, which is responsible for specific mRNA codon recognition, and the 3' end, to which the tRNAs corresponding amino acid is attached (by aminoacyl-tRNA synthetases). tRNAs cope with the degeneracy of the genetic code in two manners: having more than one tRNA (with a specific anti-codon) for a particular amino acid; and 'wobble' base-pairing, i.e. permitting non-standard base-pairing at the 3rd anti-codon position. Lineage: Bacteria; Bacillati; Bacillota; Clostridia. The record is from RNAcentral.
GGAGAGAUGUCUGAGCGGUUUAAGGAGCACGAUUGGAAAUCGUGUAAACUGUUAACGCAGUUUCCGGGGUUCGAAUCCCCGUCUCUCCGCCA